GUCUCGAACUCACUGAGAUCUGCCUCCAAAGUGCUGGGAUUAAAGGUGUGUGCUACCAUGGCUCAACAUCUACAGCAUAUUCUUUAAGCAAGCAAAUAAGCAAUUUAAAAGCAGCCAUCUGUUAUGAUUAUAUAGCACCUAUCAUUUUUCUGGGUUCUUCUCAGUCUCUACAAGACUAUCAUUUUUUUUCUUAUCAAACAAAAGUUGAUUCAUCAAGUACAUCUGCAUGAUGAAAGCAUCUUCUGGGGGUUGAACUGAUCGUCUGAACUUUCAACUCUCCUUUGCACUGCCAUGGAUCACUUCCUGGAUGGGAGGCUCCCCUCCCCCCCCACUUUGCAUCUGAGCAGCGUGCAGUUUCCAGUUCCCUAUGGUGAUGUGAAGGCCAAUCUGAGCACACAGCUGACCCACCAAUAUCACAGUACCAACAUCAAUUUCAUAACUGAAGAAACUCGUUGAAGGAGGCUAACCGCUCUAGAGUCAGUUGAGCAUGCGCAUUAGUAACUUCCCUAUGAGCCAAACAGAAGUCUGCUGCAAGGCCUAGAGAUCGCUGAGAUCUUGAUGACUUGGAUCCAAUGAGAGAGAGACAACACAGCAUUCCAGAUGGCACCACCCCUGGCUCCCAGGAAGGGGUAUAAGAGGCCUGCCCAUACCCUCAAUAAAGGAGUUGGCAUUUA
Mesocricetus auratus (golden hamster) is the source of this 674-nucleotide long non-coding RNA. RefSeq lists it as uncharacterized. The record is from RefSeq and is a predicted model, not a curated record. NCBI's taxonomy places the organism in Eukaryota, Metazoa, Chordata, Mammalia, Rodentia, Cricetidae. The transcript has 2 exons.